UACGUAGGUGGCGAGCGUUGUCCGGAUUUACUGGGCGUAAAGAGCGCGCAGGCGGUCGUUCAAGUCGCGUGUGAAAGCCCCCGGCUCAACUGGGGAGGGUCACGCGAUACUGAUCGACUCGAAGGCAGGAGAGGGAAGUGGAAUUCCUGGUGUAGCGGUGAAAUGCGCAGAUAUCAGGAGGAACACCGGUGGCGAAGGCGGGUCUCUGGGCCGAUACUGACGCUGAGGAGCGAAAGCGUGGGGAGCGAACAGG
This 253-nucleotide ribosomal RNA is filed under the name uncultured bacterium. RNAcentral describes it as "partial 16S ribosomal RNA". It matches the Rfam family "Bacterial small subunit ribosomal RNA", at positions 524 to 776 of the family's 1533-position model. The record is from RNAcentral.